UACGUAUGGUGCAAGCGUUAUCCGGAUUUACUGGGUGUAAAGGGAGUGUAGGUGGCAUGGCAAGUCAGAAGUGAAAGCCCAGGGCUCAACCCUGGGACUGCUUUUGAAACUGCCGAGCUAGAGUGCAGGAGAGGUAAGUGGAAUUCCUAGUGUAGCGGUGAAAUGCGUAGAUAUUAGGAGGAACACCAGCGGCGAAGGCGGCUUACUGGACUGUAACUGACACUGAGGCUCGAAAGCGUGGGGAGCAAACAGGAUUAGAUACC
RNAcentral lists this ribosomal RNA (263 nucleotides) under uncultured bacterium. Its description in RNAcentral is "partial 16S ribosomal RNA". It matches the Rfam family "Bacterial small subunit ribosomal RNA", at positions 524 to 786 of the family's 1533-position model. The record is from RNAcentral.